ACGACCUUACUUGAACAGGAUCUGUUCUAUAGGCUCGUACCUCUGUAUCCUUGAGUUCUAAGGAGACAUGAACCUAAGUCUGGUUGAUGAGGCAUAGCCAUACGAUCAGAGCGUGAUUAACAGCUCUGAUGUGUCCAUUUCGUACUCACCAAGCAGUAGAGGAUCGCUCCCAUGGUUGGUUCCAAUCUUGGGAUGGUCGUGUGGUUGUCUGACAGACU
Molecule: small nucleolar RNA, 218 nt
Organism: Telopea speciosissima
Lineage: Eukaryota; Viridiplantae; Streptophyta; Magnoliopsida; Proteales; Proteaceae
Product: small nucleolar RNA U3
Exons: 1
Source: RefSeq, a predicted model, not a curated record